GAUGAAGAACGCAGCGAAAUGCGAUAAGUAGUGUGAAUUGCAGAAUUCAGUGAAUCAUCGAAUCUUUGAACGCACAUUGCGCCUCUUGGUAGUCCAUGGGGCAUGCCUGUUCGAGCGUCAUUUGUACCCUCAAGCUUUGCUUGGUGUUGGGUGUUUGUCCCGCGUUGCGCGUGGACUCGCCUUAAAGCGAUUGGCAGCCGGCAUAUUGGCCUUGGAGCGCAGCACAUUUUGCGCUUCUAGUCAUGAAUGUUGGCGUCCAUUAAGCCUAUACAUUUGCUCUUGACCUCGGAUCAGGUAGGGAUACCCGCUGAACUUAAGCAUAUCAAUAAGCGGAGGA
This 337-nucleotide unclassified non-coding RNA is filed under the name soil metagenome. RNAcentral describes it as "partial contains 5.8S ribosomal RNA, internal transcribed spacer 2, and large subunit ribosomal RNA". The stretch from base 1 to 120 matches the Rfam family "5.8S ribosomal RNA", at positions 35 to 154 of the family's 154-position model. The record is from RNAcentral.